UAAAGUACUUUCAGUCGUGAGGAAAGGUGUUAGGGUUAAUAACCUUAGCAAUUGACGUUAGCGACAGAAGAAGCACCGGCUAACUCCGUGCCAGCAGCCGCGGUAAUACGGAGGGUGCGAGCGUUAAUCGGAAUUACUGGGCGUAAAGGGCACGCAGGCGGUUAAUUAAGUUGAAUGUGAAAUCCCCGGGCUUAACCUGGGAAUGGCAUUCAAGACUGGUUAGCUAGAGUCUUGUAGAGGGGGGUAGAAUUCCAUAURUAGCGGUGAAAUGCGUAGAGAUGUGGAGGAAUACCGGUGGCGAAGGCGGCCCCCUGGACAAAGACUGACGCUCAUGUGCGAAAGCGUGGGGAGCAAACAGGAUUAGAUACCCUGGUAGUCCACGCUGUAAACGAUGUCGAUUUGGAGGUUGUAGUCAUGAACUGUGGCCUCCGGAGCUAACGCGUUAAAUCGACCGCCUGGGGAGUACGGCCGCAAGGUUAAAACUCAAAUGAAUUGACGGGGGCCCGCACAAGCGGUGGAGCAUGUGGUUUAAUUCGAUGCAACGCGAAGAACCUUACCUACUCUUGACAUCCAGCGAAUCCUUUAGAGAUAAAGG
This 595-nucleotide ribosomal RNA is filed under the name Arsenophonus endosymbiont of Drosophila sp. Its description in RNAcentral is "bacterial SSU rRNA". The record is from RNAcentral. Lineage: Bacteria; Pseudomonadati; Pseudomonadota; Gammaproteobacteria; Enterobacterales; Morganellaceae.